UACGGAGGAUGCGAGCGUUAUCCGGAUUUAUUGGGUUUAAAGGGUGCGCAGGCGGCGUGUCAAGUCAGCGGUAAAAUGUCGGGGCUCAACCCCGGCCGGCCGUUGAAACUGGCGUGCUCGAGUUGGAGAGAAGUAUGCGGAAUUCGUGGUGUAGCGGUGAAAUGCAUAGAUAUCACGAGGAACCCCGAUUGCGAAGGCAGCAUACCGGCUCCACACUGACGCUGAGGCACGAAAGCGUGGGUAUCGAACAGG
RNAcentral lists this ribosomal RNA (252 nucleotides) under uncultured bacterium. RNAcentral describes it as "partial 16S ribosomal RNA". It matches the Rfam family "Bacterial small subunit ribosomal RNA", at positions 524 to 776 of the family's 1533-position model. The record is from RNAcentral.